AUGCAAAUCUACACAAAAUUUGGUAACAUGUAUAUGGAGAGAUUAUGUUCACUGAGAACUCACUGGACUUCUUAUUCCUGGAGGACUGCUGGGGGUAUAACCACAUCACAAACCAUUCCACGCAGAUGUAAGGGCAAAUGGAUUACCCAGCAAGUUUCUCUUCACAGAAGCUUCAUAUGGGCCGAGCCGGCUGGGCUGGCCACGGCGACAGCGGUUCUUCUCGGCUCCGGCUCUGCAAGCGGGGAGGAGGCCCGUGUCCUCGAGUCGCUGCCGGUGCAGGCCCCGCCGUUGGCUUCUAGGCGUGGCCGCAGCCCGGCGUGCCACCCCUCGCCUCGUUCUGCUCGCGGGCGCUCUCAGGAAAGCCUCACGUCACCAGUUUCGCCUCCUCUGUCUCCCACAACUGUGCUACCUCCAUCGCCACGUUCCAACAGAGGCGAGGCCCGGCCUUCUCCGACCUCGCUGGCUGCCCCAAGCCAGGAGCUGCUCCACCUCUGCUCACCACUCAGGCUCCAGGCGCCUCUGACCUCGCCGGCCAAGCCGCCGGGUUUUGAAGCCUCACCAACGCCACCUUUGGUCUCCAGCGGGCCUCUACUACGCACGCCAUCGCCGCGACGGCUGUGUGGGCCUGCUACUGCAGGUGCCGUGGGCUUACAAUGCCUCGCACCGCUCUUCGAGGAUCGCCAGGAUGCAAUCUUGCCAUCACCUACUUCAACUCCACCUAAGGCACCGGCUGCUCGUCGGAAAACCCUGGCUGGGGUCACCAUUUCCAAGUCUGGUGGCUUAUUCUCGAUCCACGAGACACGCGCUUCAGGGUGUGCCAAGGCAGCGCCGGCUGCCAAGGCGGCAGAGCUGCUCCUGUGCCGCAGCUUGGGUAUUGUGAAAGAUGGUGAAGAUGUCACUGCAGCUGCACUCGACGCCUUCGCGGACCGCUUCAAGGAGCAGUUGCCACCUGAUGUGAUUGCUGCUAUGCGCGGAUUGUUCAAGCUUGAUGAUGGAGAUGCAACAGAUGUCGAGGAGGCACUCAUUGCGCAUGGAGGAGGAGGCGCCCUCGACCUGGAGAGGACUGAUGAGGGCGCCGCUGUCCAGCAGGCGUCCUUUUGA
RNAcentral lists this ribosomal RNA (1101 nucleotides) under Triticum aestivum (bread wheat). RNAcentral's name for it is "partial small subunit ribosomal RNA". The record is from RNAcentral. Lineage: Eukaryota; Viridiplantae; Streptophyta; Magnoliopsida; Poales; Poaceae.